Molecule: ribosomal RNA, 468 nt
Filed under: uncultured bacterium
Lineage: Bacteria
Description: partial 16S ribosomal RNA
Rfam family: Bacterial small subunit ribosomal RNA
Source: RNAcentral
GACGAACGCUGGCGGCGUGCUUAACACAUGCAAGUCGAACGGAAAGGCCCUGCUUUUGUGGGGUGCUCGAGUGGCGAACGGGUGAGUAACACGUGAGUAACCUGCCCUUGACUUUGGGAUAACUUCAGGAAACUGGGGCUAAUACCGGAUAGGAGCUCCUGCUGCAUGGGGGGGGUUGGAAAGUUUCGGCGGUUGGGGAUGGACUCGCGGCUUAUCAGCUUGUUGGUGGGGUAGUGGCUUACCAAGGCUGUGACGGGUAGCCGGCCUGAGAGGGUGACCGGCCACAUUGGGACUGAGAUACGGCCCAGAAUCCUACGGGAGGCAGCAGUGGGGAAUAUUGCACAAUGGGCGGAAGCCUGAUGCAGCAACGCCGCGUGCGGGAUGACGGCCUUCGGGUUGUAAACCGCUUUCGCCUGUGACGAAGCGUGAGUGACGGUAAUGGGUAAAGAAGCACCGGCUAACUACGUG